GACGAACGCUGGCGGCGUGCUUAACACAUGCCAGUCGAACGAUGAAGCGGGUGCUUGCCCUCGUGGAUUAGUGGCGAACGGGCGAGUAACACGUGAGUAACCUGUCCUUUUCUUUGGGAUAACGGCUGGAAACGGCUGCUAAUACUGGAUAUUCAGGCUGCAUCGCAUGGUGUGGUUUGGAAAGGUUUUUUCUGGGAUUGGGUGGGCUCGCGGCCUAUCAGCUUGUUGGUGGGGUGAUGGCUUACCAAGGCUUUGACGGGUAGCCGGCCUGAGAGGGUGGUCGGUCGCACUGGGACUGAGAUACGGCCCAGACUCCUACGGGAGGCAGCAGUGGGGAAUAUUGCACAAUGGACGAAAGUUUGAUGCAGCGACGCCGCGUGGAGGGUGUAGGCCUUCGGGUUGUGAACUCCUUUUUCUCGCGAAAAAGGCACAGUUUUGGCUGUGUUGAUGGUAGUGGGGGAAGAAGCGCCGGCUAACUACGUG
RNAcentral lists this ribosomal RNA (483 nucleotides) under uncultured bacterium. RNAcentral describes it as "partial 16S ribosomal RNA". It matches the Rfam family "Bacterial small subunit ribosomal RNA", at positions 28 to 507 of the family's 1533-position model. The record is from RNAcentral.